AGAGUUUGAUCCUGGCUCAGGAUAAACGCUGGCGGCGCACAUAAGACAUGCAAGUCGAACGAACUUAAUUCGAAUGUUUACAUUUGGAAGCGGUUAGUGGCGGACUGGUGAGUAACACGUAAGCAACCUGCCUAUUAGAGGGGAAUAACAGUGAGAAAUCAUUGCUAAUACCGCAUAUGCCAUAUGUACCACAUGGUACAAGUGGGAAAGGAGCAAUCCGCUAAUAGAUGGGCUUGCGUCUGAUUAGAUAGUUGGUGGGGUAACGGCCUACCAAGUCGACGAUCAGUAGCCGAACUGAGAGGUUGAACGGCCACAUUGGGACUGAGACACGGCCCAGACUCCUGCGGGAGGCAGCAGUAGGGAAUUUUCGUCAAUGGGCGCAAGCCUGAACGAGCGAUGCCGCGUGAGUGAAGAAGGCCUUCGGGUCGUAAAGCUCUGUUGCGGGGGAAAAAAGGCAGCAUCAGGAAAUGGGUGCUGACUGAUGGUGCCCCGCCAGAAAGUCACGGCUAACUACGUGCCAGCAGCCGCGGUAAUACGUAGGUGGCGAGCGUUAUCCGGAAUGAUUGGGCGUAAAGGGUGCGCAGGCGGUCCUGCAAGUCUGGAGUGAAACGCAUGAGCUCAACUCAUGCAUGGCUUUGGAAACUGGAGGACUGGAGAGCAGGAGAGGGCGGUGGAACUCCAUGUGUAGCGGUAAAAUGCGUAGAUAUAUGGAAGAACACCAGUGGCGAAGGCGGCCGCCUGGCCUGUUGCUGACGCUGAGGCACGAAAGCGUGGGGAGCAAAUAGGAUUAGAUACCCUAGUAGUCCACGCCGUAAACGAUGAGGACCAAGUGUUGGGGGUGAAACCUCAGUGCUGAAGUUAACGCAGUGAGUCCUCCGCCUGGGGAGUAUGCACGCAAGUGUGAAACUCAAAGGAAUUGACGGGGGCCCGCACAAGCGGUGGAGUAUGUGGUUUAAUUCGAAGCAACGCGAAGAACCUUACCAGGCCUUGACAUGGGAUGCGAAGAUGCAGAGAUGCAUCGGAGGUCAACAUCCACACAGGUGGUGCAUGGUUGUCGUCAGCUCGUGUCGUGAGAUGUUGGGUCAAGUCCCGCAACGAGCGCAACCCUUGUGGCAUGUUGCUAACAGGAAAAGCUGAGGACUCAUGCCAGACUGCCGGUGACAAACCGGAGGAAGGCGGGGAUGACGUCAAAUCAUCAUGCCCCUUAUGGCCUGGGCUACACACGUACUACAAUGGCGGCUACAAAGAGCAGCGAGACAGGGAUGUCGAGCGAAUCUCAUAAAAGCCGUCCCAGUUCGGAUUGGAGGCUGCAACCUGCCUCCAUGAAGUUGGAAUCGCUAGUAAUCGCGAAUCAGCAUGCCGCGGUGAAUACGUUCCCGGGCCUUGCACUCACCGCCCGUCAA
RNAcentral lists this ribosomal RNA (1403 nucleotides) under uncultured bacterium. Its description in RNAcentral is "bacterial SSU rRNA". It matches the Rfam family "Bacterial small subunit ribosomal RNA". The record is from RNAcentral.